GACGAACGCUGGCGGCGUGCUUAACACAUGCAAGUCGAACGCUGAAGCCCUUCGGGGUGGAUGAGUGGCGAACGGGUGAGUAACACGUGGGCAACCUGCCCUGCACUCUGGGAUAACUUCGGGAAACCGGAGCUAAUACCGGAUAACAUCCUCCUCCGCAUGGUGGGGGGUUGAAAGUUCCGGCGGUGCAGGAUGGGCCCGCGGCCUAUCAGCUUGUUGGUGGGGUAGUGGCCUACCAAGGCGACGACGGGUAGCCGGCCUGAGAGGGCGACCGGCCACACUGGGACUGAGACACGGCCCAGACUCCUACGGGAGGCAGCAGUGGGGAAUAUUGCGCAAUGGGCGAAAGCCUGACGCAGCGACGCCGCGUGAGGGAUGACGGCCUUCGGGUUGUAAACCUCUUUCAGCAGGGAAGAAGCGGUCCGGUUCUCCGGGGCGUGACGGUACCUGCAGAAGAAGCACCGGCUAACUACGUGCCAGCCGCCGCGGUAACAC
This 495-nucleotide ribosomal RNA is filed under the name uncultured bacterium. RNAcentral's name for it is "bacterial SSU rRNA". It matches the Rfam family "Bacterial small subunit ribosomal RNA", at positions 28 to 526 of the family's 1533-position model. The record is from RNAcentral.